UAAAAUUAUAUGCAUACUUAUGAGCAUCCUUUUUAAUUAAAACAAGACACAAAAAUCUUCAAUCGCCUCUAUUGGUAUACAUCACGAUUCACGAUUAGUUAAAUAUGUCAAACUAUAAAUAGGGGCUUAGAGUAAUCAAUUUUAUUUAUUUUUACUUUCAAAACACUCUUGAAGUCGUUGAGUUUACCUGAUUGUAGUUUAUUGGCCUUUAAAUACUUUAGCAACUAUUGCACAAUUUGAUUCUCGCCAGCCAGCUUCAAAUUUCGUCAACCAACUUUUUCUACUUCGAGAGAGCUUUGUGUGACAGCUGGAUUCACCUCAAUUGGAAUUUCUAUCGAGAAAGUUAUGGCAAUUUUAUGAAAAUUGCAAACUGAUUCCUACAAAAAUUUACUUGAUUCUACCUGAGAAACUUCUAACUUAUUGGCUCAUAUGAGUUGAACGUUGGAUAAGGAGUCUCUAACAAAGUCUAAUAGCUGGAAAAAUAAACAAAAAUCAUUUAUAAUUUGAAGACG
Molecule: long non-coding RNA, 512 nt
Filed under: Salvia miltiorrhiza (redroot sage)
Lineage: Eukaryota; Viridiplantae; Streptophyta; Magnoliopsida; Lamiales; Lamiaceae
Description: long non-coding RNA (SMIL_LNC002601)
Source: RNAcentral